Molecule: ribosomal RNA, 402 nt
Filed under: uncultured bacterium
Lineage: Bacteria
Description: bacterial SSU rRNA
Rfam family: Bacterial small subunit ribosomal RNA
Source: RNAcentral
UGGGGAAUAUUGGACAAUGGGCGCAAGCCUGAUCCAGCCAUGCCGCGUGAGUGAUGAAGGCCCUAGGGUUGUAAAGCUCUUUUAGCGGGGAAGAUAAUGACGGUACCCGCAGAAAAAGCCCCGGCUAACUUCGUGCCAGCAGCCGCGGUAAUACGAAGGGGGCUAGCGUUGCUCGGAAUUACUGGGCGUAAAGCGCACGUAGGCGGACUCUUAAGUCGGUGGUGAAAUCCUGGAGCUCAACUCCAGAACUGCCUUCGAUACUGGGAGUCUUGAGUUCGGGAGAGGUGAGUGGAACUGCGAGUGUAGAGGUGAAAUUCGUAGAUAUUCGCAAGAACACCAGUGGCGAAGGCGGCUCACUGGCCCGAUACUGACGCUGAGGUGCGAAAGCGUGGGGAGCAAACA